UACGGAGGGGGCUAGCGUUGUUCGGAAUUACUGGGCGUAAAGCGCACGUAGGCGGCUUUGUAAGUUAGAGGUGAAAGCCCAGGGCUUAACCCUGGAAUUGCCUUUAAGACUGCAUCGCUAGAAUCGUGGAGAGGUGAGUGGAAUUCCGAGUGUAGAGGUGAAAUUCGUAGAUAUUCGGAAGAAACACCAGUUGGCGAAGGCGACUCACUGGACACGUAUUGACGCUGAGGUGCGAAAGCGUGGGGAGCAAACAGG
Molecule: ribosomal RNA, 255 nt
Filed under: uncultured bacterium
Lineage: Bacteria
Description: partial 16S ribosomal RNA
Rfam family: Bacterial small subunit ribosomal RNA
Source: RNAcentral